RNAcentral lists this ribosomal RNA (253 nucleotides) under uncultured bacterium. Its description in RNAcentral is "partial 16S ribosomal RNA". It matches the Rfam family "Bacterial small subunit ribosomal RNA", at positions 524 to 776 of the family's 1533-position model. The record is from RNAcentral.
UACAGAGGGUGCGAGCGUUACUCGGAAUUACUGGGCGUAAAGCGCGCGUAGGCGGCUUUGCAAGUCGGGUGUGAAAUCCCCAGGCUUAACCUGGGAACUGCAUUCGAGACUGCAUUGCUAGAGUAUGGGAGAGGGAAGUGGAAUUUCCGGUGUAGCGGUGAAAUGCGUAGAUAUCGGAAGGAACAUCAGUGGCGAAAGCGGCUUCCUGGACCAGCACCGACGUUCAGGCACGAAAGCGUGGGGAGCAAACAGG